This 319-nucleotide ribosomal RNA is filed under the name uncultured eukaryote. RNAcentral describes it as "partial 18S ribosomal RNA". It matches the Rfam family "Eukaryotic small subunit ribosomal RNA", at positions 1470 to 1796 of the family's 1831-position model. The record is from RNAcentral.
CCCUUAGAUGUUCUGGGCAGCACGCGCGCUACAAUGGUCUUCGCAAACGGAUGCAUUCUCGAAGGAGAAUGCCAAUCUUGGAAUCUAUGCCUUGGUCGGGACAGUUGCUUGCAAUUUUUCGACUCGAACCAGGAAUUCCUUGUAAUCGUGAUUCAUCACAUCACGAUGAAUACGUCCCUGCCCUUUGUACGCACCGCCCGUCGCUCCUACCGAUCGAAGAGUUAGGUGAAUUGUUUUGAUCGAUAAGAUUUGACUAUGGUCAACUCUCGUUGGGAAAUUCUGUGAAUCUGACUGUUUAGAGGAAGGAAAAGUCGUAACA